This 3222-nucleotide ribosomal RNA is filed under the name Candidatus Moraniibacteriota bacterium. Its description in RNAcentral is "Candidatus Moranbacteria bacterium 23S ribosomal RNA". It matches the Rfam family "Bacterial large subunit ribosomal RNA". The record is from RNAcentral. Lineage: Bacteria; Candidatus Moraniibacteriota.
UAGCGGUUACACAUGCGCAUGGUGGAUGCCUAGACUUGAGCAAGCGAUGAAGGACGUAGCAGGCUGCGAUAAGCCUCGGGGAGUCGCCAAGCAGACUUUGAUCCGGGGAUCUCCGAAUGGGACAACCCAGUUCCGCGCAAGCGGGAUUAUCACACAUCUGAAUACAUAGGGUGGUGAAGCACACCCUGGGAACUGAAACAUCUUAGUACCAGGAGGAACAGACAUCAAUAGAGAUUCCGUCAGUAGUGGCGAGCGAACGCGGAACAGCCUAAACCAAGUGCCUUCGGGCACUCGGGGUUGCGAGGUAUAUGGACUCGGUUGAACGGGGUCGCACAUGUUUUUUCUAGCGGAAUGGUCCUGGAAAGACCAACCAGAGAGAGUGAAAGUCUCGUACGCGAAAGAAACAAACAGGCGAUGCAUAUAUCCUCAAGUAGGGCGGGGCCGGAGAAACCCCGUCUGAAUCCGGGAGCACUAACUUCCAAGGCUAAAUAUUGCUCAAGAUCGAUAGUGAACAAGUACCGUGAGGGAAAGGUGAAAAGUAUCCCGGUGAGGGAGAUGAAAUAGUUUCUGAAACCAUGUCGCUAACGAAGAGUCGGAGCCUUGCCUUUACUGGUAGGGUGACGGCGUGCUUUUUGCAGAACGAGCCAACGAGUUUGCUCUACGUGGUCGCCUAAGGAACGAGAGUUCUGGAGGCGUAGUGAAAGCGAGCCUGAUAAGGGCGUUUAUGAUCGCGUGGACAAGACCCGAAGCCGGACGAGCUACAUAUGAGCAGGGUGAAGCGAAGGUAAAACUUCGUGGAGGCCCGAACCCACGAGCCGUGCAACACUCGGGGAUGACUUGUGUGUAGAGGAGAAAUUCCAAUCGAGUUCGGCGAUAGCUGGUUCUCUCCGAAAUAGCUUGAGGGCUAGCGUCGCGAAAUUAGGGUCGGGAGGUAGAGCUACUGGAUGAGAAUUCGCGGGCAACCGUAGACUUUUCAACCAAACUCCGAAUGCCCGAUACCCGUACCGCGGCAGUCAGAAAUCCGGGGCUAAGCUCGGAUUUCAAAAGGGAAACAGCCCAGAUCGUCAUCUAAGGUCCCCAAAUCUCUGUUCAGUGGAAAAGGAAGUGAAGUUUCUCGGACACCUAGGAGGUUGGCUUAGAAGCAGCCAUCCUUUAAAGAGUGCGUAAUAGCUCACUAGUCUAGAGACUUCGCGCCGAAAAUGUAACGGGGCUAAACAGAGUACCGAAGAUACGGGCUUGCAGACUUCACAAAGAAGAUUUUUGGAUCGGUAAUUCAAGAGGCUUAUAUGCGAAAGACAGAGAAAUUUCUGUUGGGGAUGCGUGUAAGUGCGAGAAUGCUUCCAUGAUGGAAGUUGAUGCAGGUUAAAAUCCUGUCCGGUCCGCCAAUUUCAUGUUAAGAGAAACCGCGUUUUCUCUUAACAUCUUUGUGAAGUCUGUAAGCGGUAGGAGAGCGUUCCUUGUGCGCUGAAGCUCGCACCGUGAGGUGGGGUGGAGUGCAGGGAAGUGAGAAUGUUGGCAUGAGUAACCGCAAUGUGCGUGAAAUCCGCACACACCGAAAGUCCAAGGUUUCCCGGGCAACGGCGAUCGUCCCGGGGUUAGUCGGUCCUAAGGCGAGGCCGAAAGGCGUAGUCGAUGGCAAAUCGGUUAAUAUUCCGAUACUAUAGAACGCAUUCGAUGGAGUGACGCAUUCUAGUAUUCUUCGCGCAUUAUUGGAUUUGUGUAGAAAUAUUGAGGGCGUUGGGUAGGUAAAUCCGCCCGACAUUCUCCCAAGAUAUUUCUGAACGUCCGGAUUUAUUCGGAUGAACGAAGAAAAGCAGGGUGCCAGGAAAAACUUCUAAGGUUCGUGCGUUCAUAACCGUACUAAAACCGACACAGGUGGACUGGGCGAGUAGCCCAAGGUGAACGGGAGAACCUUCGUUAAGGAACUCGGCAAAAAAGCUAGGCGUACGUUUGCAAUAUGCCUUGCCCAUCGCAAGAUGGGCCGCAGCGAAAGUUUCCCAAGCGACUGUUUACCAAAAACACAGGUCUCUGCAAACCCGCAAGGGGAAGUAUAGGGGCUGACGCCUGACCAGUGCUGGAACGUUAACGGGAGCGGUUCACGCCAAUCCCCGAAGCGCCAGUGAACGUCGGCGAUAACUAUAAUCGUCCUAAGGUAGCGAAAUUCCUUGUCAGGUAAAUUCUGACCCGCAUCAAAGGCGUAACGAUUUGGGAACUGUCUCAACGAAGGACCCGGUGAAAUCGCAGUGACGGUAAAGAUGCCGUCAACCUACAGCUAGACGAAAAGACCCCGUGGAGCUUUACUAUAACUUGGUAUUGAAUAGGAGUUGUGGUUGCCGAGAUUAGGUGGGAGGCUAUGAAGUCCCGAUUCUGGUCGGGAUGGAGCCAACAAGUGGAAUACCACCCUGCUUUGAUUCUUAUUCUAACCCUGGGCCGUUAGUUGGUUUCUACGAUAGCUGAAGUGUGUCCUUAAUGGAUAUGCUUUGGUUGAGUUUAUCGUGUUCAAGUGUUCAAUAUCGUUCUAGAAAUCAGCUACCGGUCCGGGGACAGUGCCUGGUGGGUAGUUUGACUGGGGCGGUCGCCUCCUAAAAGGCAACGGAGGCGUUUACUAAGGUAGGCUAGGUCCGGAUGGAAAUCGGACCGAUAGCGCAAAAGCACAAGCCUGCUUUACUGAAAGACCUAUACGUCAAUCAGUCACGAAAGUGGAAUUUAGUGAACCGACCAUCCCUCGUAGGAGGGUGGAAGAUCAACAGAUAAAAGUUACCCCGGGGAUAACAGGCUAAUCACUCCCAAGAGUCCACAUCGACGGAGUGGUUUGGCACCUCGAUGUCGGCUCAUCGCAUCCUGGGGCUGGAGAAGGUCCCAAGGGUUUGGCUGUUCGCCAAUGAAAGCGGUACGCGAGCUGGGUUCAAACCGUCGUGAGACAGGUUGGUCUCUAUCUACUGUAGGCGUCAUUACUUGAGAGGAGUCUUUCCUAGUACGAGAGGACCGGAAAGAACGAACCUCUGGUGUAUCGGCUGUUCUGCCAAGGGCACUGUCGAGUAGCUAUGUUCGGACCGGAUAACUGCUGAAAGCAUCUAAGCGGGAAGCCGACCUCAAGAUAAGGUAGUCGUUCCAAUUUAUUGGGACAAAAUAUCCUCGGAGACUACGAGGUUGAUAGGCUUCAGGUGGAAGCCCCGUGAGGGGUGGAGCCGAGAAGUACUAAUAUAUUUACGAAUCGCUCUU